RNAcentral lists this ribosomal RNA (1378 nucleotides) under Treponema sp. Its description in RNAcentral is "bacterial SSU rRNA". It matches the Rfam family "Bacterial small subunit ribosomal RNA". Lineage: Bacteria; Pseudomonadati; Spirochaetota; Spirochaetia; Treponematales; Treponemataceae. The record is from RNAcentral. RNAcentral also lists the same sequence under 2 other names.
ACGCUGGCGGUGCGUUUUAAGCAUGCAAGUCGAACGGCAGGAAGGUGCUUGCACUUUCCUAGAGUGGCGGACUGGUGAGUAACGCGUAGGUGAUCUACCUUUAAGACUGGGACAGCCUUUAGAAAUAAGGGGUAAUACCGGAUGUGCUUAUUAUGUUUUGACGUAGUAAGGGAAGGAGCGUUUGCUCCGCUUAGAGAUGAGCCUGCGUCCCAUUAGCUAGUUGGUAAGGUAACGGCCUACCAAGGCGAUGAUGGGUAUCCGACCUGAGAGGGUGAUCGGACACAUUGGGACUGAGAUACGGCCCAAACUCCUACGGGAGGCAGCAGCUGAGAAUCUUCCGCAAUGGACGAAAGUCUGACGGAGCGACACCGCGUGAAUGAUGAAGGCCGAAAGGUUGUAAAGUUCUUUUGCAGACAAAGAAUAAGGAUAGAAGGAAAUGUCUAUUUGAUGACGGUAGUUAUGCGAAUAAGCCCCGGCUAAUUACGUGCGGGGCGAGCGUUUUCGGAAUUAUUGGGCGUAAAGGGCAUGUAGGCGGUUUAAGCCUGUGUGAAUCUACGAGCUUAACUCGUAAAUGCAUUGGGUACUGCUUGAAUCAGAGGGGAACUGGAAUUCCAAGUGUAGGGGUGGAAUCUGUAGAUAUUUGGAAGAACACCGGUGGCGAAGGCGGGUUUCUAGCAUGAUUGACGCUAUGCGAAGGUGGGGGAGCAAACAGGAUUAGAUACCCUGGUAGUCCGCACAGUCAUGUACACUAGUGGGGGUAAGACUCAGUGGGCAAACGCAUAAGUGUACCGCCUGGGGAGUAUGCCCGCAAGGUGAAACUCAAAGGAAUUGACGGGGGCCCACACAAGCGGUGGAGCAUGUGGUUUAAUUCGAUGUACGCGAGGAACCUUACCUGGGUUUGACAUAAGGAUUAUAGAGAUAUGGUAGCGUAGAUACGCUUUACAGGUGCUGCAUGGCUGUCGUCAGCUCGUGCCGUGAGGUGUUGGGUAAGUCCCGCAACGAGCGCAACCCUACUGCCAGUUACUAACAGGUAAAGUGAGGACUCGGCGGAACUGCCGGUGAUAAACCGGAGGAAGGUGGGGAUGACGUCAAGUCAUCAUGGCCCUUAUGUCCAGGGCUACACACGUGCUACAAUGGUUGUUACAAAGUGAAGCGAAGCCGCGAGGUGAGCGAAUGCAAAAGCAAUCGUAGUCGAUUGGAAUCUGAAACCUGAUUCAUGAAGCUGGAAUCGCUAGUAAUCGCUAUCAGCACGAUGCGGUGAAUACGUUCCUGGGCCUUGUACACACCGCCCGUCACACCAUCCGAGUCGAGGUACCCAAGAGCUAGUCUAACGAGGGACGGUGGCGAAGGUACGUGGUAAGGAGGGUGAAGUCGUAAC